RNAcentral lists this ribosomal RNA (425 nucleotides) under uncultured prokaryote. RNAcentral's name for it is "bacterial SSU rRNA". It matches the Rfam family "Bacterial small subunit ribosomal RNA", at positions 355 to 796 of the family's 1533-position model. The record is from RNAcentral.
UCGAGAAUCUUCCACAAUGGACGCAAGUCUGAUGGAGCGACGCCGCGUGCGGGAAGAAGGCCUUCGGGUUGUAAACCGCUGUCAGAGGGGAGUAAGCAAUGAACGAACCUCAGAGGAAGCACGGGCUAAGUUCGUGCCAGCAGCCGCGGUAAGACGAACCGUGCGAACGUUGUUCGGAAUCACUGGGCAUAAAGGGUGCGUAGGCGGGAGGCCAAGUCCGAAGUGAAAUCCCACCGCUCAACGGUGGAAUAGCUUUGGAAACUGGUAUUCUGGAGGAAGGUAGGGGCAGGCGGAACUUCCGGUGGAGCGGUGAAAUGCGUAGAGAUCGGAAGGAACACCGAUGGCGAAGGCAGCCUGCUGGACCUUGUCUGACGCUGAGGCACGAAAGCUAGGGUAGCGAACGGGAUUAGAUACCCCCGUAGUCC